Molecule: long non-coding RNA, 979 nt
Organism: Silurus meridionalis
Lineage: Eukaryota; Metazoa; Chordata; Actinopteri; Siluriformes; Siluridae
Exons: 3
Source: RefSeq, a predicted model, not a curated record
GUGUGAGAACUAUGAUGAUGCAGUUACUGCUGAAACAAACCCAAACAUCAUCACAGAAGAUGAAGAUGAAGAUGAUGAUGAUGAUGUGAUCAGUGAGGAACAGGAUGUAGGAGAGACAGGAAAAUGUGAUGAGGUGGAGGAGAAAUCUCAGAAAAACAGGGACCAUGUGACUGAGACACGCCACCAAAGGCCUUUUCUCAGGAAAUUACAUUUCAACUUUUACAAAGACAAAAAAUGAUUUGAUUCUACUUCCAAUAAUGUCAUGUUUUCUGAAUGGUGUUGAUUCUCCCCCUAGUUAUUAGUAAAUAGAGUAGUGAGAGUUCAAUCCCCUUUCAUAUGACUUCAUGCAAAAUCUCCAGCUUUUCCUUUCCUACACUUUUAAUGCUAUAAGUCAACUUCAAUAUCACUGUCACACCACAACUCAUUUAUCACAACAAUUCUUUCAUCAAAACUGCUCUGAUUUUCAUCUUCAUGUUUUCCAUUCAUCAACUUCUUAUUCAGUGUGUUUAGAAAUGUGUUAGUGACUAUAAACCACUUCACAACUAACAAAAAGCUUUUUAUUCCUUAAAACUAUACUUUUUUAUUCAGUUCAAACAAAGACACAUUUACAUUUCUGUUCAAUUCUGUGUUUUUAACUCCAAACUAUAGAAAUUAAUUGGAUUCCAGAAUUCCUUUAUGAAAUAUUCACACUAUGACAUGCUAAUUAGAUUAGCCUGCUAUAUUGCAGUGUUUAUUCGCUAGCUGGAUAUGCUGCAAGUCAGAUCUAGUAGAUGUCAUUAGUGUAAAUAUAGAAACAGUUUUAUAAAGUUUUCUCAGAUUUACAUUGGAGUUCCUCAGGUUUCAUUCAGGAUUCUCUCGUUUCUUUUCUUCUUCUCAGGACUUUGUUUUAUAAUCUCAGCUUUAAUUCAAUAUUCUCACUUUUGAAAUGAGUGAAUGAAGGUUCAUUUUAAUAUUAAAUUCUAUUAAACUAUAGAUUCAG